AAUCAACGCUGGCGGCGUGCCUCAGACAUGCAAGUCGAGCGCGAAAGUUUCCUUCGGGAGAUGAGUAGAGUGGCGCACGGGUGAGUAACACGUGAGUAAUUUACCUUCGGGUGGGGAACACUAACCGGAAACGGUCGUUAAUACCGCAUAAUGCAGCGGCAUCAAUGAUGACAGUUGUUAAAGCGGGGGAUUGGAGCAAUCCGACCUCGCGCCUGAAGAGAAGCNCGCGGCAGAUUAGCUAGUUGGUAAGGUAAUGGCUUACCAAGGCGACGAUCUGUAACCGGCCUGAGAGGGCGGUCGGUCACACUGACACUGAAUAACGGGUCAGACUCCUACGGGAGGCAGCAGUCGGGAAUUUUGGGCAAUGGGCGCAAGCCUGACCCAGCAACGCGCGUGAAGGAUGAAGCUUUUCGGAGUGUAAACUUCACAAGAAUGGGAAGAAUAAGUUU
RNAcentral lists this ribosomal RNA (449 nucleotides) under uncultured bacterium. Its description in RNAcentral is "bacterial SSU rRNA". It matches the Rfam family "Bacterial small subunit ribosomal RNA", at positions 32 to 456 of the family's 1533-position model. The record is from RNAcentral.